This 359-nucleotide ribosomal RNA is filed under the name uncultured bacterium. Its description in RNAcentral is "bacterial SSU rRNA". It matches the Rfam family "Bacterial small subunit ribosomal RNA", at positions 163 to 507 of the family's 1533-position model. The record is from RNAcentral.
CUAAUACCGGAUAAAUAAAAAGAACUGCAUGGUUUCUUUUUAGAAAGAUGGUUUCGGCUAUCACUUACAGAUGGGCCCGCGGCGCAUUAGCUAGUUGGUGAGGUAACGGCUCACAAGGCAACGAUGCGUAGCCGACCUGAGAGGGUGAUCGGCCACACUGGGACUGAGACACGGCCCAGACUCCUACGGGAGGCAGCAGUAGGGAAUCUUCCGCAAUGGACGAAAGUCUGACGGAGCAACGCCGCGUGAGUGAUGAAGGUUUUCGGAUCGUAAAACUCUGUUGUUAGGGAAGAACAAGUGCCGUUCGAAAGGGCGGCACCUUGACGGUACCUAACGAGAAAGCCACGGCUAACUACGUG